This 3244-nucleotide long non-coding RNA is filed under the name Canis lupus familiaris (dog). Its description in RNAcentral is "lncRNA (ENSCAFG00030006529.1)". The record is from RNAcentral. Lineage: Eukaryota; Metazoa; Chordata; Mammalia; Carnivora; Canidae.
UUCAAUUCUGCAGCGCGGAGAGGGCACUCCGGGCUGCUUGGGAAGGCAGCUGGCCCCUGGAUAAGGCUCUGCCGGGCUCCCUGUGCACUGCUCCUGGCGAGCAAGCCCGGCAACCUGAGCAGCCUCUCGUAUGAUGCCACCUCCUGCUUCCUCACUGCCCAACCCGGCAGUCCGCCUGACUCUCUGGCCGUUGGUCUCCAGUGCCCUGGAAACAUCCUCACCUUCUACCUCGCCUGUCAAAAGAGCAAGAAGAUCAACACAGCAGGAGAUGGCUCCUCAGCAUUUGAAAACUCAGAGUGUCAGCAUCCUCCUCCUCUUCCUUCCAGGCAAAUAAGGUCUAGGGUCACCUGGGUGGCUCAGUUGGUGAAGCGUCUGCAUGAUCUCAGGGUCCUAGGAUUGAGUCCCGCGUCAGGCUCCCUGCUCAGCCAGGAGUCUGUUUCUCUCUCUCCCCUCUGCCUCUCUCCUUGCUUGUGUUCUCUCUCACUCUCAAAUAAAUAAAGAAAAUCUUUUUUAAAAAAGUGAGAGAGGGGAAGCCCGGGUGGCUCAGCAGUUUAGUGCCGCCUUUGGCCCAGGGUGUGAUCCUAGAGACCUGGGAUCGAGUCCCGCAGUCGGGCUCCCUGCAUGGACCCUGCUUCUCCCUCUGCCUGUGUCUCUGCCUGUCUCUAUCUCUCAUGAAUAAAUAAAAUCUUAAAAAAAAAAAGAGAAUAAAGUCUAAUGAGUCACUGGCUUUAAGAUGAUAUCUAGGCAGACCUGAAGCAUAGACGAUUUGAGGGGUGGGUUUGUUAAGAAAAAAAUGAGAGAAUAAAUACUUGGAUGAUGAGGGACCCCAAAGCUUGAACUUGCUAGCUUCAUGAUGAAGCACCUUUAAUGUAUUGCAAUAAACAAUAAGGGAGCUCCCGGGCCUCUGAAGGGGUUUGUGCUGUUUCUUUCUGGAAAAGAGAAUUUGCAGAGUAAAUGAAGAAAAGACCAAAACAAGAAGGCUUCAAGUUUGGGGAGGCAAAAUGUUGUAAAGCGCAAUAGCACCCCUCCCUCCGAGACAGAGUUUGUAAAAUCUUAAAGUUAACAUCUACAAAAAUGCCAAGGUUUUCCUGGAAAUGUCAGAAAACACCGGGGAGGCACCCUGGUUCCAGAUCUGGAGGUAGGAGCAGAGUGGGAGUGGGGGGUGGGGUGGGCUCGGGCUCACUUCUGCAGAGCCCACCUCCUGCAAGGGGAAAGCACCCUGUCACCUGUGCCCCCAGUGGGGACAGUGGCAGGGUAAGGGAAGAAAGUCAGAAAAGCAGGCAUAUGUCCCUCGUUUGUUAUGUUUAGUCUUUCAGAAAGCGCGCAUCCACACAAGCAAGCGUUGUUUAUAUUCCAUGAAGACAAACCUUUCAUCGCACCUCCAGAGUUUAAAAGCAACCUAUGGAGCAUUUCGAUUUUGCAGUUUCAGUUUCGUGAAACACAACCUGUGCUUCCCUGCUCAGUGGCACGUCAGCCACUCGUCCCGUGCUUCCCUGGGUCCUGGCCCCAAGCUGCAGAAGGGGUCCUCCAUGGGGUGCCCCAGCCCUAGCCCCCAGUGACCCUGAUGAGCUGUUUCAUGCACCUUGCAAUUUCUGACAUUUUGGGCACCUGACUCUUCCGUCUGGAGCUUCAGGCUCUGUUGUCUUCUGGGGGUGCCCUGUGGCCCCUGGGCUGGGAGCUCCUGAGUGUCUGUGGCUAAGCCCCCUUGUCCCUGUCCCCCACCCCAGGGCAGCACGGGUUCAGCCUGUAAUGAGAGGUGGUGCUCAGUCCAUUCUCACUGGUUUAGCCCAUGAGGAGUAUUGGUUUCUUGAAGCCGGAUACACUGCAGUCCAUGAAAAGCCCCCAGGGACUCAUGUCAAAGUUCUGGGCGUGCUCCCUCCAUCUGUCCCAGUGUCUAGCUCCACUGGAUUCUGAGCAGAGAGGACACUCAGCUUUUGAAUUACUCUCCGUGGCUGUGGGCCCCUGUGGCCAGACAGGUCCCAGCCUUGAUGUCACUCUGGGGACGUGACAUCCGAGCACUCAGUGGAGCGCUUCUGGCCUGCUGAGGCAGGGGUUGGAGGCGGAACCAAAGGCUCAAAGCAUUUGGAACUCUGCUCCAGGAUGCCUUCAAGAUGUGGUCCUUUUCCGCAUCCUGCAUCAACCACGCUGAAUAAAUCCCAGGGGCCCACAGUUUAUGUCCAUACCUGGCAGCUGGCGUGCACAGCUCACAUUCCCACUCUGUUUGCACUAACCCAGCACUUAUCAAAGGGCACGGAGGUGGCUAGAGGGGCCUGGCCCACCAGCAGUGUGGUGAGGUGCCCCAGAGCAACCUUGUAACCAGAUGGCCGACUCUUUGGAGAAGGGCCGGGCAAGUAGGACUGCCCAGACCUGACUCCGGACAUUACGAAUCCUUCUUGCCAUUCCCUUAAGCAUUUCUCACAACCUGUCCAUCCUGCAUGCCCGGCUUCUCAGCUCUAAAGCUUCUCAGUUGUUCUGUUAGAGCCCGUGCAAGCAGGAAGAAGUCAUAUCCAGAGGGCAUUUGGGAAUAAAACAGGAUCAGGAAAGAGGAGCAGGGUUGUGAGAUCUGGGGGAAAGUGACAACAAUGAACACCAGCCACAGAUGGACAGGGAUGGCUUGCUUCUCAGACGUGAUUUACAAAGAGGGACAUCUGAGUUCUGAGGGCUCAGCUCGCCAGGGAUGCUCCAGGGCUAGGCUCUGAGUGUAGAAUCCUGAGCUCAGGGAGCCAGGAGGGGAGUGUCCUGCUGAGGACUCCCACCCACACCUGAGCCUCAUUUUCCAGUCUGUAACCACUGGGACUGUAAUACCUAUCACAUGGGGUGACUGCUGGGGUGGGGGAGAUGGCCAUGAAUCAACCACAUGUAUAAGUCAUUUAAAACUAAAGAAAUUAUCUAAAAUGAAAAUGGAUUGCGGUCACUGAAGUUUUCUAAGUGGGCCAGCGCAACUCAUAUCAGUGGGGAUAUAUAUCUCAUUAUUACUGGAACUAGAAGGUUCCAACACUCAGGUCAUGUCCUGGCCACUAGAGCAGUGGUUCCCCAAUUGUGGUCUCCAGACCAGCAGCACCUAGCUUAGAAAUGUAUGUUCUCGGCGCCUGGGUUUACUGUCUGAUUCGGCUCAGGUCAUGAUCUCAUGAAAUCUAGUCCUGAAUCAGGCUCGGCGCUCAGUGGGGAGUCUUUUUUUCCUCUCCCUCUGCUCCCCCCCCCCCCCCCCCCCCCCCCCCCCCCCCCCGCCCACCAGCCAGCUCAC